RNAcentral lists this ribosomal RNA (398 nucleotides) under uncultured bacterium. RNAcentral's name for it is "bacterial SSU rRNA". It matches the Rfam family "Bacterial small subunit ribosomal RNA", at positions 358 to 773 of the family's 1533-position model. The record is from RNAcentral.
GGAAUUUUGGGCAAUGGGCGAAAGCCUGAUCCAGCCAUGCCGCGUGAGUGAUGAAGGCCCUAGGGUUGUAAAGCUCUUUCCGCGGGGAAGAUAAUGACGGUACCCGCAGCAGAAGCCCCGGCUAACGUCGUCCCAGCAGCCGCGGUAAUACGAAGGGGGCUAGCGUUGUUCGGAAUUACUGGGCGUAAAGCGCGCGUAGGCGGAUUGCUAAGUCAGGGGUGAAAUCCCGAGGCUCAACCUCGGAACUGCCUUUGAUACUGGCUGUCUUGAGUCCGGGAGAGGUGAGUGGAAUUCCUAGUGUAGAGGUGAAAUUCGUAGAUAUGAGGAAGAACACCAGUGGCGAAGGCGGCUCACUGGCCCGGUACUGACGCUCAUGUGCGAAAGCGUGGGGAGCAAAC